GACGAACGCUGGCGGCGUGCCUAAUACAUGCAAGUAGAACGAGUUGCGAACGGGUGAGUAACGCGUGGUAACCUGCCUCAUAGCGGGGGAUAACUAUUGGAAACGAUAGCUAAUACCGCAUACUGUGAGAUGGACCUGCGUUGUAUUAGCUAGUUGGUGAGGUAAAGGCUCACCAAGGCGACGAUCCCUAGCUGGUCUGAGAGGAUGACCAGCCAGACUGGAACAGAGAAAGGGUCCAGACUCCUACGGGAGGCAGCAGUGGGGAAUAGUGCACAAUGGGCGCAAGCCUGAUGCAGCCAUGCGGCGUGUAUGAAGAUGGCCUUAGGGUUGGAAAGUACUGUCAGCGAGGAGGCGUUACUCGCAGAAGAAGCACCGGCUAACUCCGUGCCAGCAGCCGCGGUAAUAC
RNAcentral lists this ribosomal RNA (406 nucleotides) under uncultured bacterium. RNAcentral's name for it is "partial 16S ribosomal RNA". It matches the Rfam family "Bacterial small subunit ribosomal RNA", at positions 28 to 526 of the family's 1533-position model. The record is from RNAcentral.